GAUCCUGGCUCAGGAUGAACGCUAGCUACAGGCUUAACACAUGCAAGUCGAGGGGCAGCAUGGGAGUUGCUGCAACUCCGAUGGCGACCGGCGCACGGGUGAGUAACGCGUAUCCAACCUGGCCCUUAGUAGGGAACAGCCCGGCGAAAGUCGGAUUAAUGCCCUAUGUUUUCCAAUGAUGGCAUCUGACUUGGAACAAAGAUUCAUCGCUAAGGGAUGGGGAUGCGUCUGAUUAGCUUGUCGGCGGGUAACGGCCCACCGAGGCGACGAUCAGUAGGGGUUCUGAGAGGAAGGUCCCCCACAUUGGUACUGAGACACGGACCAAACUCCUACGGGAGGCAGCAGUGAGGAAUAUUGGUCAAUGGGCGCGAGCCUGAACCAGCCAAGUAGCGUGCCAGGAAGACUGCCCUAUGGGUUGUAAACUGCUUUUAUGCGGGAAUAAAGUCAGGUACGCGUACCUGUUUGUAUGUACCGCAUGAAUAAGGACCGGCUAAUUCCGUGCCAGCCGCUGC
RNAcentral lists this ribosomal RNA (512 nucleotides) under uncultured bacterium. RNAcentral describes it as "bacterial SSU rRNA". It matches the Rfam family "Bacterial small subunit ribosomal RNA", at positions 15 to 518 of the family's 1533-position model. The record is from RNAcentral.